UCCGAGUUGACCCCGGCAGUCUUCGAUGAGUCCCCGCCAUAACGCGCUGGCAACAUCGAACGAGGGUUGCGCUCGUUGCGGGACUUAACCCAACAUCUCACGACACGAGCUGACGACAGCCAUGCACCACCUGUGACCGCCCCCGAAGGACCUGCCAUCUCUGACAGUUUUGCGGCCAUGUCAAACCCAGGUAAGGUGGGGAUGACGUAGCUUACAGCGUAC
RNAcentral lists this unclassified non-coding RNA (222 nucleotides) under uncultured Actinomycetes bacterium. RNAcentral's name for it is "uncultured actinobacterium contains 16S-23S intergenic spacer region". The record is from RNAcentral. Lineage: Bacteria; Bacillati; Actinomycetota; Actinomycetes.